Molecule: ribosomal RNA, 531 nt
Filed under: uncultured prokaryote
Description: bacterial SSU rRNA
Rfam family: Bacterial small subunit ribosomal RNA
Source: RNAcentral
UGGGGAAUAUUGCGCAAUGGGCGAAAGCCUGACGCAGCGACGCCGCGUGAGGGAUGAAGGUCUUCGGAUUGUAAACCUCUUUCAGCAGGGACGAAGCGAAAGUGACGGUACCUGCAGAAGAAGCACCGGCUAACUACGUGCCAGCAGCCGCGGUAAUACGUAGGGUGCAAGCGUUGUCCGGAUUUAUUGGGCGUAAAGAGCUCGUAGGCGGUUAGACACGUCGGAUGUGAAAACUCGGGGCUCAACCCCGAGCCUGCAUUCGAUACGGUCUGACUUGAGUGUGGUAGGGGUAACUGGAAUUCCUGGUGUAGCGGUGAAAUGCGCAGAUAUCAGGAGGAACACCGAUGGCGAAGGCAGGUUACUGGGCCACCACUGACGCUGAGGAGCGAAAGCGUGGGGAGCAAACAGGAUUAGAUACCCUGGUAGUCCACGCCGUAAACGGUGGGCGCUAGAUGUGGGGACCAUUCCAUGGUCUCUGUGUCGCAGCUAACGCAUUAAGCGCCCCGCCUGGGGAGUACGGCCGCAAGGCUA